CUGAUGGUGCUGUACUGGGUACAGGAGAAGGUACUGGGGUAGUUGGAGGAGGAGUUGGUUUGGUACCUGGCACUGGUAGAGUAGGAACAGGAGCCACAAAACCUGGAAAAAGCUAUGGCGCUGCUGGAGGUGGAAUUUUACCAGGUGGAGGAAUACGUUACCCAACAGGAGCUGGAGUAGGACAGGGAACAGGAAAACCAGGCAAAG
Non-coding RNA from Labrus bergylta (ballan wrasse), 207 nucleotides. Lineage: Eukaryota; Metazoa; Chordata; Actinopteri; Labriformes; Labridae. The record is from RefSeq and is a predicted model, not a curated record.